GGGGUCGACUUGGUAUCGAUUAGAGCAGUGAGUAUUAGUUGCAUGUCGGUUUGGAUAUAUCGUUAAUCUAUCCAUUUUUUUUAGACGCAAAUAAUACAAAUUACGCUCCAGCUUACGCACACGCUGCAUAAGUUUUAAUUUAAGGACUCCCUUCGGGUUGAGACCUUGGAGGUUCACACUACUGAUUCUAUCUAAGUAGAUUUCGUGGACUCACCCUAGAUAGAUUAUUUUUUAGUUUUGAUUGAGCUAAAAAAGACAUUUAGAUCUUAGCCCUGCAGACGCUUUGCAGGUUGUGCUGCUGUAAAGGUGAAAUAUUACAACCUUUUCUAAGCAUGUAGACGCUGAUAUGAUCUGUUUUAAGACUGGAGUUCAAUUCUCCACGACUCCACCA
Molecule: transfer-messenger RNA, 391 nt
Filed under: Arcobacteraceae bacterium
Lineage: Bacteria; Pseudomonadati; Campylobacterota; Epsilonproteobacteria; Campylobacterales; Arcobacteraceae
Rfam family: transfer-messenger RNA
About the family: Bacterial tmRNA, also known as 10Sa RNA or SsrA, is named for its dual tRNA and mRNA-like properties.
Source: RNAcentral